RNAcentral lists this ribosomal RNA (166 nucleotides) under Hyaloscyphaceae sp. RNAcentral's name for it is "partial large subunit ribosomal RNA". It matches the Rfam family "Eukaryotic large subunit ribosomal RNA", at positions 99 to 261 of the family's 3401-position model. Lineage: Eukaryota; Fungi; Ascomycota; Leotiomycetes; Helotiales; Hyaloscyphaceae. The record is from RNAcentral.
CGGUAACAGCUCAAAUUUGAAAUCUGGCUCUUUCAGGGUCCGAGUUGUAAUUUGUAGAAGAUGCUUUGGGUGUGGCUCCAGUCUAAGUUCCUUGGAACAGGACGUCAUAGAGGGUGAGAAUCCCGUAUGUGAUUGGUGGCCUUCGCCCGUGUAAAGCUCUUUCGAC